GGGGAAUACUGCGCAAUGGGGGAAACCCUGACGCAGCAACGCCGCGUGAAGGAAGAAGGUCUUCGGAUCGUAAACUUCUUUGAUGAGGGACGAAAAGAUGACGGUACCUCAAAAACAAGCCACGGCUAACUACGUGCCAGCAGCCGCGGUAAUACGUAGGUGGCGAGCGUUGUCCGGAAUUACUGGGUGUAAAGGGCGCGUAGGCGGGGGAGCAAGUCAGAUGUGAAAUACCGUGGCUCAACCACGGGGCUGCAUCUGAAACUGUUUUUCUCGAGUGUCGGAGAGGAAAGUGGAAUUCCCAGUGUAGCGGUGAAAUGCGUAGAUAUUGGGAGGAACACCAGUGGCGAAGGCGACUUUCUGGACGAUAACUGACGCUGAGGCGCGAAAGCGUGGGGAGCAAAC
This 402-nucleotide ribosomal RNA is filed under the name uncultured bacterium. Its description in RNAcentral is "bacterial SSU rRNA". It matches the Rfam family "Bacterial small subunit ribosomal RNA", at positions 356 to 773 of the family's 1533-position model. The record is from RNAcentral.